UACAGAGGGCUCAAGCGUUGUUCGGAUUCAUUGGGCGUAAAGGGCGCGUAGGCGGCUUUGCAAGUGACGGGUGAAAUCCCUCGGCUUAACCGAGGAACUGCCUGUCAAACUGCAUGGCUUGAGACCGGGAGAGGUGAGUGGAAUUCCCAGUGUAGCGGUGAAAUGCGUAGAUAUUGGGAGGAACACCAGUGGCGAAGGCGGCUCACUGGACCGGUACUGACGCUGAUGCGCGAAAGCGUGGGGAGCAAACAGG
This 253-nucleotide ribosomal RNA is filed under the name uncultured bacterium. Its description in RNAcentral is "partial 16S ribosomal RNA". It matches the Rfam family "Bacterial small subunit ribosomal RNA", at positions 524 to 776 of the family's 1533-position model. The record is from RNAcentral.